GCGCCACACGCACCGCGCCACACGGACGCUCCACAUACACAGACGCACACACCCACACUAACUCCACAGAUGCCCCUCAACACGCACCUCUCUCUUUCUCGCUCUCUAUGUCUCCCUCUUUCUCCCCCAUUCGCCCUGCUUCAUCCUCCUGAGGCGCAAACCCAGCCCUGACACAACCAUGAGGGACAAACCUGAGGGCAGGCUCGGCAACCCUUUCUUGCUCUGGCUGGCACAUUGCUUUUUCCUACUCCUUUCUCAAGUCCUUCUAUUUAAUUCCUCCCUCCUCAAAGGGACCUCGAGCACUUGCAUCACUGAAAUGAGAUGAUCUGAAUGUGAGCUGUCAUAUUAAGGAGAAAAAUGUCACCACGCUCAGUACGCAGCUGAAGAACAGGCAGCAAGUGGGAAUUGGCUAAAUUAGCUUAACAGACUGCUUUUUCUAUUGCUUCAUUCCUGCAUUUGGUGUGAGAACAGAAUGACUGGGUGAAGGUGGAAAACCUUCUGGAAACCUUCUGGGAAUGACAAAAAUAUGCAAAAGCAUGAAAAGAGAGCAUGGAGGAAGAUUGCAAGUAGCUCUGGAAGAAGCUGCCUCCACGUGGCCAGUGGUGACUUUCGGACUUCUGCAUAAAAAACGUUCCGCAAACACAAAACAUGGUUCAGCCUGCACUGUCAUGGCAGGGGGAGUUCCCUUCACCAGUAAUCAGGAAGACAUUGCUUCCUGACUCUGCUGUCACAGCUUGUCCCUUGUUCCCCUUGAGAGUCACGCAGCCAGUGAAGAUACUCCUGAUUUGCAUGAAUGAGGAUAGAAGGCGGCCUUGAAUUCCCUCAGCAGAAAGAAAAACAUUGUUACGUAUUUGGCCUAUGCAGCUG
This 867-nucleotide long non-coding RNA is filed under the name Apteryx owenii (little spotted kiwi). RNAcentral's name for it is "lncRNA (ENSAOWG00000012282.1)". Lineage: Eukaryota; Metazoa; Chordata; Aves; Apterygiformes; Apterygidae. The record is from RNAcentral.